AGGACACGGACUGUGGGCUCGGGCGGCUGGUCAGCCUCCACACCCACCACCAUGGCGUUGUGAUACUGCACAGGGCCCCAGGCAGGGCGUCACAUGCAUUCAAGGCAACAACAUAGCAAGAUACUGCAAACAGCCAGGAGUUGAAAGAUGCAUGAUCCAAACGAAAAACAGAAAGAAAAAUGUGGAACAUUCAUGGAAGGAACAAAUAAGCUGAUGAUUUGGAAAUUAAUGUUGCAGCAAUACUGACUAAUUAAUCUGUUUACAAGAGUAUAUGUUUUUAUAAAGUGAACAAAAAUUGUUUGAUCAAGAAAUAAAUGUUCAGCUGGGGUAACAUAAAGGACUUCUGUCCUUUAAAUAGAUAAGCAAAUUAAAUAAUUCUUUUCACUUUUGCCAGCUUUCUAUUUACAAAAUUAAAAAUAAAUUAUCAAUUGUCA
Non-coding RNA from Chiloscyllium plagiosum (whitespotted bambooshark), 434 nucleotides. The record is from RefSeq and is a predicted model, not a curated record. NCBI's taxonomy places the organism in Eukaryota, Metazoa, Chordata, Chondrichthyes, Orectolobiformes, Hemiscylliidae.